Long non-coding RNA from Sinocyclocheilus grahami, 252 nucleotides. RefSeq lists it as uncharacterized. NCBI's taxonomy places the organism in Eukaryota, Metazoa, Chordata, Actinopteri, Cypriniformes, Cyprinidae. The transcript is spliced from 3 exons. The record is from RefSeq and is a predicted model, not a curated record.
GGCGGACGCAACAUCUUCAAGGCAAAACCUUAGACGUGAUGCAACAUCAUCCCAUGUUGCAAUCACCCUCAGGAGGCACUUGAAGCCCAGUGCCCAAUAUAUGCACUGGAACAUUUCCAGUGUCAGAAGUAGAACUGCCAUGCCAGCUUUUCUUGGAGAAAGUGAGGAGGAUGUGAUUGGUCAUGCAGCAGCACAGAUAAACACCACAAAGACAUCUGAAAUCUGUCACAAGAUAACACGUCUAAAAUUGUG